RNAcentral lists this long non-coding RNA (302 nucleotides) under Olea europaea subsp. europaea. Lineage: Eukaryota; Viridiplantae; Streptophyta; Magnoliopsida; Lamiales; Oleaceae. The record is from RNAcentral.
UUCUAGUGCAAUCUGGAAACUGAUGUAUUAAUCUUUUUAGUUUCUAUUUAUUUAUUUGUAUCUCAAAGAAAAUGGGAAGGUUUUUUCUUUAUGUUCAAGCUAAAAACACUCACAAUAUUUGAAAUAUAGGAGUAUGUAGGGAAGGUUAUGAGUGUCAGGGAAAAGAUAGGAAGAAAGGUUUUGGAUGUUUUGAAGAUUGUUGAGGAAGCUGUCAAAAUACAGAUGCCUUUUUUCUUUGAAACUAGCUGGAGAUUUACAUGGAGCAAUUGGGACAUUGUCUUUUCAAAUUUUUGUAGAUAGUG